UCAAGAGCUAAUGUUCACAUGUAAACAGCAGCUCAUGUAGUGCAGAGAUUGUCCAGUCAACAAGCAUGUAGCGUAGACUGUCCAGGCGACACACGUACUUAGGUAUCGUCAUGAGCUAAUGUUCACAUGUAAACAGCAGCUCAUGUAGUGCAGAGAUUGUCCAGUCAACAAGCAUGUAGCGUAGACUGUCCAGGCGACACACGUACUUAGGUAUCGUCAUGAGCUAAUGUUCACAUGUAAACAGCAGCUCAUGUAGUGCAGAGAUUGUCCAGUCAACAAGCAUGUAGCGUAGACUGUCCAGGCGACACACGUACUUAGGUAUCGUCAUGAGCUAAUGUUCACAUGUAAACAGCAGCUCAUGUAGUGCAGAGAUUGUCCAGUCAACAAGCAUGUAGCGUAGACUGUCCAGGCGACACACGUACUUAGGUAUCGUCAUGAGCUAAUGUUCACAUGUAAACAGCAGCUCAUGUAGUGCAGAGAUUGUCCAGUCAACAAGCAUGUAGCGUAGACUGUCCAGGCGACACACGUACUUAGGUAUCGUCAUGAGCUAAUGUUCACAUGUAAACAGCAGCUCAUGUAGUGCAGAGAUUGUCCAGUCAACAAGGAUGUAGCGUAGACUGUCCAGGCGACACACGUACUUAGGUAUCGUCAUGAGCUAAUGUUCACAUGUAAACAGCAGCUCAUGUAGUGCAGAGAUUGUCCAGUCAACAAGCAUGUAGCGUAGACUGUCCAGGCGACACACGUACUUAGGUAUCGUCAUGAGCUAAUGUUCACAUGUAAACAGCAGCUCAUGUAGUGCAGAGAUUGUCCAGUCAACAAGCAUGUAGCGUAGACUGUCCAGGCGACACACGUACUUAGGUAUCGUCAUGAGCUAAUGUUCACAUGUAAACAGCAGCUCAUGUAGUGCAGAGAUUGUCCAGUCAACAAGGAUGUAGCGUAGACUGUCCAGGCGACACACGUACUUAGGUAUCGUCAUGAGCUAAUGUUCACAUGUAAACAGCAGCUCAUGUAGUGCAGAGAUUGUCCAGUCAACAAGCAUGUAGCGUAGACUGUCCAGGCGACACACGUACUUAG
Spodoptera frugiperda (fall armyworm) is the source of this 1074-nucleotide long non-coding RNA. RefSeq lists it as uncharacterized. NCBI's taxonomy places the organism in Eukaryota, Metazoa, Arthropoda, Insecta, Lepidoptera, Noctuidae. The record is from RefSeq and is a predicted model, not a curated record. The transcript is spliced from 4 exons.